UUUCAAGUUAUGAACUCCUACAGAAUUUGCUAUAAGUCUACAAAAUAUAAUAUCCUACAUAGUAGUUUGAAGAAAACAUAAAUGAGGUAAGAUAAGGGAGUCAAGGGGCUGCGGACGUCAACAGCUACCUCGAAACUCCAAAUCGCUGCCUGGUCUGGAAGGAAUCAACGCUUAGGUGCGGACUCUACUAUGCCUGAAUCUGCACACAUGAUGCAGGGAGUAAUGUGAGUACUCCGACCCAGUGAGUAAUAAAUAAUAACCUAAGGCAUGAAAACACAUAAAUUAACAAGACAAUUCUAUACCAGGCAGUAAAUCACUUAAAGCAAUAAAACUGUAAAGAAUCAAAUGAAAUCUCCUUUUUUAAAAUAGGUAAAUCAGGUAAAACAACAAGUAAACAGUGAGUAGUAAUCUGCCUCUCGAGCCCAGUAUCACUCACUCAACAUAGUAUCAGACCUCAGUCGCUCAACAUAGUGACAUAUUGACAUUAAUAGAAGUUGACUAUAUAUGUCAAGGCCUCACUCUUUUAAGCGAAGUAGGAAAGAAGGUAGGUAACUCCAGCAAUUUAUAAUCGAAGAACAGAAGAAAAAAGCAGAAAGUUUUAUAGAGAUGUCUAUGGGCACAACUACAGAAGAUUGUGAUUCCUUUAUUUCUAAUACUGAUAGAAUCAUCUGCGGUAGUGUAGACGACCGCCAGGAGCAGCAGUCGAAGCAACAGAUUUUGAUUGCUGCUGCUGAUGGUCGUACUGAUGGUUUGAUUAUAUCAUCAGGUGCAUCUUCUAGGAUGCAGUUUAAUGCUUAUUGCAAUAACUGUAACCGGGAUGGUUUUGAACUUUGUUUAGGUUUGAAUAUUGGUGGUGGGGAAGUGAACAAAGGAGCAAGCAUUAGCUCGUCUGUCCAAACCUUGAUGGCAGUACAAGGGAGAACCCGAAGUGUAAACACAUGUUAUUCACAUAAUAAUAAGAACAACUACAGCAAGUCAAAGGUCCACGAGUGUUCAAUUUGUGGGCUAGAGUUCUCAUUAGGUCAAGCGACCACGUUCGAUUAAAGCAACAAACACUAAGGUUUCCUUGACUACUGUUGAUGAGAUUCAGGAGGAGUCGAGAAGCAUUCCGUUGCUGCUUGAUCUUAACUGGCCGCCGCCGCGGGAUAGAUGGGAUCCUAUACCUUUAACUAGAGGACUUCGAUUCGAGCUGGAAGAACAAUAAAUUCUCAAUAUGGAGGCUUCCCCUUUAAUGAUUUCUAAUCUGUAUUAAUGGGACCUAUAUUUCAGGUAUCAGAUAAUUUUAGAAAGAAAAAAACGAAAAAAGAAAAUUGUCGGCGCCACCCAAAGGUGAUCGCCGAGGUUAUAGUAUACCAAGUUUGAUUUGUCAGACUUUCACCAAUGUCUCGUCUUUCCCGCAGCUACUUUGAUGGGCUGUAAUUAC
This 1423-nucleotide long non-coding RNA is filed under the name Nicotiana benthamiana. Its description in RNAcentral is "long non-coding RNA (NBEN_LNC027951)". The record is from RNAcentral. Lineage: Eukaryota; Viridiplantae; Streptophyta; Magnoliopsida; Solanales; Solanaceae.